RNAcentral lists this ribosomal RNA (429 nucleotides) under Actinomycetes bacterium. RNAcentral's name for it is "Actinobacteria bacterium partial 16S ribosomal RNA". It matches the Rfam family "Bacterial small subunit ribosomal RNA", at positions 355 to 776 of the family's 1533-position model. Lineage: Bacteria; Bacillati; Actinomycetota; Actinomycetes. The record is from RNAcentral.
UAGGGAAUCUUCCGCAAUGGGCGAAAGCCUGACGGAGCAACGCCGCGUGAGUGAUGAAGGUCUUCGGAUCGUAAAACUCUGUUAUUAGGGAAGAACAAAUGUGUAAGUAACUAUGCACGUCUUGACGGUACCUAAUCAGAAAGCCACGGCUAACUACGUGCCAGCAGCCGCGGUAAUACGUAGGUGGCAAGCGUUAUCCGGAAUUAUUGGGCGUAAAGCGCGCGUAGGCGGUUUUUUAAGUCUGAUGUGAAAGCCCACGGCUCAACCGUGGAGGGUCAUUGGAAACUGGAAAACUUGAGUGCAGAAGAGGAAAGUGGAAUUCCGUGUGUAGCGGUGAGAUGCGCAGAGAUAUGGAGGAACACCAGUGGCGAAGGCGACUUUCUGGUCUGUAACUGACGCUGAUGUGCGAAAGCGUGGGGAUCAAACAGG